AGUGAACGCUGGCGGCAGGCCUAACACAUGCAAGUCGAACGGCAGCACAGUAAGAGUUUGCUCUUACGGGUGGCGACUGGCGGACGGGUGAGGAAUACAUCGGAAUCUACUUUUUCGUGGGGGAUAACGUAGGGAAACUUACGCUAAUACCGCAUACGAUCUACGGGUGAAAGCAGGGGAUCUUCGGACCUUGCGCGUUUGAAUGAGCCGAUGUCGGAUUAGCUAGUUGGCGGGGUAAAGGCCCACCAAGGCGACGAUCCGUAGCUGGUCUGAGAGGAUGAUCGGCCACACUGGAACUGAGACACGGUCCAGACUCCUACGGGAGGCAGCAGUGGGGAAUAUUGGACAAUGGGCGAAAGCCUGAUCCAGCAAUACCGCGUGGGUGAAGAAGGCCUUCGGGUUGUAAAGCCCUUUUGUUGGGGAAGAAAAGCAGCAGGUUAAUACCCCGAUGUUCUGACGGUACCCAACGAAUAAGCACCGGCUAACUUCGUG
Molecule: ribosomal RNA, 492 nt
Filed under: uncultured bacterium
Lineage: Bacteria
Description: partial 16S ribosomal RNA
Rfam family: Bacterial small subunit ribosomal RNA
Source: RNAcentral